This 492-nucleotide ribosomal RNA is filed under the name uncultured bacterium. Its description in RNAcentral is "partial 16S ribosomal RNA". It matches the Rfam family "Bacterial small subunit ribosomal RNA", at positions 29 to 507 of the family's 1533-position model. The record is from RNAcentral.
AGUGAACGCUGGCGGUAGGCCUAACACAUGCAAGUCGAACGGCAGCACAGUAAGAGCUUGCUCUUACGGGUGGCGAGUGGCGGACGGGUGAGGAAUAUAUCGGAAUCUACUUUUUCGUGGGGGAUAACGUAGGGAAACUUACGCUAAUACCGCAUACGACCUACGGGUGAAAGCAGGGGAUCUUCGGACCUUGCGCGAUUGAAUGAGCCGAUGGCGGAUUAGCUAGUUGGCGGGGUAAAGGCCCACCAAGGCGACGAUCCGUAGCUGGUCUGAGAGGAUGAUCAGCCACACUGGAACUGAGACACGGUCCAGACUCCUACGGGAGGCAGCAGUGUGGAAUAUUGGACAAUGGGCGCAAGCCUGAUCCAGCCAUACCGCGUGGGUGAAGAAGGCCUUCGGGUUGUAAAGCCCUUUUGUUGGGAAAGAAAAGCAGCAGGUUAAUACCCCGCUGUUCUGACGGUACCCAAAGAAUAAGCACCGGCUAACUUCGUG